CCUACGGGAGGCUGCAGUGAGGAAUAUUGGUCAAUGGACGAGAGUCUGAACCAGCCAAGUAGCGUGAAGGAUGACUGCCCUAUGGGUUGUAAACUUCUUUUAUAUGGGAAUAAAAUGUUCCACGUGUGGGAUUUUGUAUGUACCAUAUGAAUAAGGAUCGGCUAACUCCGUGCCAGCAGCCGCGGUAAUACGGAGGAUCCGAGCGUUAUCCGGAUUUAUUGGGUUUAAAGGGAGCGUAGGUGGAUUGUUAAGUCAGUUGUGAAAGUUUGCGGCUCAACCGUAAAAUUGCAGUUGAAACUGGCAGUCUUGAGUACAGUAGAGGUGGGCGGAAGUCGUGGUGUAGCGGUGAAAUGCUUAGAGAUCACGAAGAACUCCGAUUGCGAAGGCAGUUCACUGGACUGCAACUGACACUGAGGCUCGAAAGUGUGGGUAUCAAACAGGAUUAGAUACCCUUGUAGUC
RNAcentral lists this ribosomal RNA (460 nucleotides) under uncultured bacterium. Its description in RNAcentral is "partial 16S ribosomal RNA". It matches the Rfam family "Bacterial small subunit ribosomal RNA", at positions 338 to 795 of the family's 1533-position model. The record is from RNAcentral.